Molecule: transfer RNA, 72 nt
Filed under: Ovis aries (sheep)
Lineage: Eukaryota; Metazoa; Chordata; Mammalia; Artiodactyla; Bovidae
Rfam family: tRNA
About the family: Transfer RNA (tRNA) molecules are approximately 80 nucleotides in length. Their secondary structure includes four short double-helical elements and three loops (D, anti-codon, and T loops). Further hydrogen bonds mediate the characteristic L-shaped molecular structure. tRNAs have two regions of fundamental functional importance: the anti-codon, which is responsible for specific mRNA codon recognition, and the 3' end, to which the tRNAs corresponding amino acid is attached (by aminoacyl-tRNA synthetases). tRNAs cope with the degeneracy of the genetic code in two manners: having more than one tRNA (with a specific anti-codon) for a particular amino acid; and 'wobble' base-pairing, i.e. permitting non-standard base-pairing at the 3rd anti-codon position.
Source: Rfam by way of RNAcentral
UCCCUGGUGGUUCAGAAGGUAGACCAUCUGCCUGCAGUGCAGGAGACCCGGGUUCAAUCCCUAGGUCGGGAA